GGGUCUAUAGCUCAGCUGGUUUAGAGCGCACGCCUGAUAAGCGUGAGGUCGGUGGUUCGAGUCCACUUAGACCCA
Molecule: transfer RNA, 75 nt
Filed under: Fructilactobacillus fructivorans
Lineage: Bacteria; Bacillati; Bacillota; Bacilli; Lactobacillales; Lactobacillaceae
Also listed under: 3 other names
Description: Lactobacillus fructivorans tRNA
Rfam family: tRNA
About the family: Transfer RNA (tRNA) molecules are approximately 80 nucleotides in length. Their secondary structure includes four short double-helical elements and three loops (D, anti-codon, and T loops).
Source: Rfam by way of RNAcentral